CAUGUCUUUUUGAUUUUAAUUUAAGGUUUAAUCUGCUCAAUGAUUAUUUAAAUUGCCGCAGUAUUUUGACUGUGCAAAGGUAGCAUAAUAAUUAGUUUUUUAAUUGGAAACUGGAAUGAAUGAUUGGACGAAAAAAUUACUGUCUCUUUUUAAUGAAUUAUUGAAUUUUAUUUAUAAGUAAAAAAGCUUAUAUUUUAAUAAAAGACGAGAAGACCCUAUAGAGUUUAAUAUUUAAAUUUAAUUAUUUUUUAGGAGUUUAUUUUAUUUUUAAUUAUUUAGUUGGGGUGACUUAAAGAUUAAAUUAAUUCUUUAAUUUAUUAAUUGUUGAUUAGUAAUUUAUGAAUCUGGAUUUUUCAAUUUUAAUAUAAAUUACCUUAGGGAUAACAGCGUAAUUUUUCUUUAAAGUUCUUAUUGAAAGAAAAUUUUGCGACCUCGAUGUUGGAUUAAAAUUAAUUUUUGGAGUAGUUGCUUAAAAAUUAGGUCUGUUCGACCUUUAAAAUU
RNAcentral lists this ribosomal RNA (501 nucleotides) under Lopheros sp. UPOL 000578. RNAcentral describes it as "partial large subunit ribosomal RNA". The stretch from base 380 to 501 matches the Rfam family "Bacterial large subunit ribosomal RNA", at positions 2473 to 2595 of the family's 2925-position model. Lineage: Eukaryota; Metazoa; Arthropoda; Insecta; Coleoptera; Lycidae. The record is from RNAcentral.